AAAGAUUUACACAUCUGAAGUAGGAGGGUGAAUGGGAUUGAAGUAUUUACAGGGAGGAUUCUGAACUCCCCUCCUUCCUGCUCCAGGAAACACAGGAGAUGCAGACGGAUCACUUUACCAGCUGUCAAGGCAAAUGUUGCAGUAUAGUCCUUGCUCUCAGCAACGUUCUCAGUGUCCUGGUGAUGGGGUGCCUUGGAAGGACUGCGCAGAACAAGCUUUGUACUACCUCUGCACUUCAGGUUCUCUGUGCUGCAUAAAGCUGCACCGUUCGGAAGAAGCGAGAUUGUCUUUCCGUACAGCUACAAUGCUGCACCGCUCUCAACACAGCCUGCUUUUCCCCCAUUUACCUGGGCGGCUGCUGCUGUUUCGGCUGCUGCUGGGGCUGCUGCAGUCUCACUGCCUGUGCUUCACCCCGGCUUGGCUGACUCGAAACUCACUCGUCUGCACAUUGCUAAGGAAGAAGAACGAUGGAGCCGCAUUUUUUCUGGUUCUGGAAGCAAAGGGUUGCGAUUUGUGAUGAUUUGGGUUGGUUUUUUUUUUUGGNNNNNNNNNNNNNNNNNNNNNNNNNNNNNNNNNNNNNNNNNNNNNNNNNNGGGGGGGGGGGGGGGGGGGGGGGGGGGGGGGGGGGAAUGGAGGAGAAAGGAGGGGUGUUAAUCUAGGAUGGAGUGGGUGAAAGCUUAAAGAAACAUUAUGUAAAGUAAUCCAGUGCUCGACAAGGGCAUCAGCAGCAAGAAUCCAGCCUCUGCUGCUCCAGAGGAUUAACAUGGGGAAGCCACAGUGCUGCAGUCAGGUUUCACCUCAGUGUUGUGCUGGAGAUGGAUAAAUAAGGUAUCGGCUGCGUCUGCCUGUUAAGGCAAAGCCAUGGGAGAAGGAGAGAGCGAGUGAAUGCAAAUGCAAAAGAAAAGAAAUGCUAUGUGCUGUUUGAUUCUGUGCAUUCUCAUUGCAGAGAGGAUGGUAACAAAGCAAUGUAUGGACGAAGGGACUGUAAAUUGUAGCUCGAACACUCCUGAUGCUGUCAGGGAGGGAACUGAUGAGCUAGGUGGCUGCAGCAAUAUCCCCAGGGAAAACAGCAACCACGCACUCUGUGUGUGUAUAUAUAUGUAUGUAUGUGCUUUUGUGUGUGUGCGAGCCUGUAUAGACACGAAAGAAAGACACUUCUGACCAAUUUACAAAGGAAGUUUGUCACUUGCUGGGUCAGACUUGAUUGCAGCUUGUAUUUUCAGCUAUAGCUCUACACCCAUUUCCUGACUGAGGCGGCACUUUGCGAAAACAGAUGUAGACAGAAUUCUUUUAAGAAAUGUGAAAGCAGAUACUUUCCGCUUAACACCUUGAAGCACUGAAUCUUCUGCACUGUGCUGAGAGAAACUGUGGGGUUUCAUUUUCUCCAUCUUAAAAUCUUUAUAAACACAGCUGUAUUCAGUAUGGUGAAAAAUUCUAUACUGUAAAUAGAAAUGUGAUCAAUCUAAUCAAAAUAAAUGCAUCCCAGAUGACUUCUAGACCA
Molecule: long non-coding RNA, 1501 nt
Filed under: Athene cunicularia (burrowing owl)
Lineage: Eukaryota; Metazoa; Chordata; Aves; Strigiformes; Strigidae
Description: lncRNA (ENSACUG00000008433.1)
Source: RNAcentral